RNAcentral lists this ribosomal RNA (481 nucleotides) under uncultured bacterium. Its description in RNAcentral is "partial 16S ribosomal RNA". It matches the Rfam family "Bacterial small subunit ribosomal RNA", at positions 28 to 507 of the family's 1533-position model. The record is from RNAcentral.
GAUGAACGCUGGCGGCGUGCUUAACACAUGCAAGUCGAACGAAGCAUUUAAGACAGAUUACUUCGGUUUGAAGUCUGUUAUGACUGAGUGGCGGACGGGUGAGUAACGCGUGGGUAACCUGCCUCAUACAGGGGGAUAGCAGCUGGAAACGGCUGGUAAUACCGCAUAAGCGCACAGUACCACAUGGUACAGUGUGAAAAACUCCGGUGGUAUGAGAUGGACCCGCGUCUGAUUAGCUUGUUGGCGGGGUAACGGCCCACCAAGGCGACGAUCAGUAGCCGACCUGAGAGGGUGACCGGCCACAUUGGGACUGAGACACGGCCCAGACUCCUACGGGAGGCAGCAGUGGGGAAUAUUGCACAAUGGAGGAAACUCUGAUGCAGCGACGCCGCGUGAGUGAAGAAGUAGUUCGCUAUGUAAAGCUCUAUCAGCAGGGAAGAUAGUGACGGUACCUGACGAAGAAGCUCCGGCUAAAUACGUG